GAUGAACGCUGGCGGCGUGCCUAAUACAUGCAAGUCGAGCGAACGGACGAGAAGCUUUCUUCUCUGAUGUUAGCGGCGGACGGGUGAGUAACACGUGGAUAACCUACCUAUAAGACUGGGAUAACUUCGGGAAACCGGAGCUAAAACCGGAUAAUAUUUUGAACCGCAUGGUUCAAAAGUAAAAGACGGUCUUGCUGUCACUUAUAGAUGGAUCCGCGCUGCAUUAGCUAGUUGGUAAGGUAACGGCUUACCAAGGCAACGAUGCAUAGCCGACCUGAUAGGGUGCACGGCCCCACUGGAACUGAGACACGGUCCAGACUCCUACGGGAGGCAGCAGAAGGGAAUCUUCCGCAACGGGCGAACGCCUGACGGAGCAACGCAGCGUGAGUGAUGAAGGUCUUCGGAUCGUAAAACUCUGUUAUUAGGGAAGAACAUAUGUGUAAGUAACUGUGCACAUCUUGACGGUACCUAAUCAGAAAGCCACGGCUAACUACGUG
This 497-nucleotide ribosomal RNA is filed under the name uncultured bacterium. RNAcentral's name for it is "partial 16S ribosomal RNA". It matches the Rfam family "Bacterial small subunit ribosomal RNA", at positions 28 to 507 of the family's 1533-position model. The record is from RNAcentral.